Molecule: long non-coding RNA, 1758 nt
Organism: Hypanus sabinus (Atlantic stingray)
Lineage: Eukaryota; Metazoa; Chordata; Chondrichthyes; Myliobatiformes; Dasyatidae
Exons: 3
Source: RefSeq, a predicted model, not a curated record
UGUGCCUUAUGAGCCAGAUUGAAUUCUUUUGAUGAUGUAACAAAACACAUUGAUGAAGGCAAAGCACUGGAUGCAGUGUCUAUGGAUUUCAGUAAAGCAUUUGAUAAGGUUCCCCAUGCAAAGCUCAUUCAGAAAGUAAAGAGGCAUGGGAUCCAAGGGGACAUUGCCUUGUGGAUCCAGAAUUGGCUUGUUCACAGAUGGCAAAGGGUGGUUGAAGGUAGUUCAUAUUCUGCAUGAAUACGGUGUUCCGCAGGGAACUGUUCUAGGAUCUCUCCUCUUUGCGACUUUUAUAAAUGAACUGGAUGAGGAAGUCGAAGGAUGGGUUAGUAAGUUUGCUGAUGGCACAAAAGUUGGGGGUGUUGAGGAUAGUGUGAAGGGUUGUCAGAGGUUACAGCGGGACAUCAAUAGGAUGCAGAACUGGGCAGAGAAGUGGCAGAUGGAGUUCAACCCAGAUGUGUGAAGUGGUUUACUUUGGUAGGUUAAAUUUGAAGACAGAAUAUAAUAUUAAUGGUAAGACUCUUGGCGGUGUGGAGAAUCAGUGAGAUCUUGCGGUCCAUGUCCAUAGGACACUGAAAGCUGCUGCAUAGGUUGACAGUGUUGUUAAGAGGGUGUAUGGUGUGUUGGCCUUCAUCAACCAGGGACUGAGUUCAAGAGCCGUGAGGUAAUGUUAAAGUUAUAUAAGACUUUAGUUAGACUCCACUUGGAGUAACAUGUUCAGUUCUGGUCACCUCACUACAGGAAGGAUGUAGAUACUACAGAGAGAGUGCAGAGGAGAUUUACACAGAUGUUGCCUAGAUUGGAGAGCAUGCCUUAUGAAAAUAGGUUGAGUGAACUUGGCCUUUUCUCCUUGGAGUGACAGAGGAUGAGAAGUGACCUGAUAGAGGUAUAUAAGAUGAUGAGAGGCAUUAUGUGGAUAGCCAGAGGCUUUUUCCCAGGGCUGAAAUGGCUAACACAAGGGGGCAUAGUUUUAAGGUGUUGGAAGUAGGUACAAGGAGGAUGUCAGAGGCAAGUUUUUCACUUAGAGAUAGGUGGGUGUAUUGAAUGCACUGCCACCGAUGCAAUAAGGUCUUUUAAGAGACUCUUAGAUAGGUACGUGAAACUUAGAAAAAUAGAGGGCUAUGCAGUAGGGAAAUUCUAGGCAGUUUCUAAAGUAGCUUACAUGGUUGGCACAACAUCGUGGGCCAAAGGGCCUAUAUUGUGCUGUAGAUUCUAUGUUCUAAUAAAACAUAUUUCAGCUUUUAGCCAUUCCGAUUUAUUCGACUGUGUGUUCCAUUUCAUCAUUGUCAUGCAUUUAACCGCAGCAUCUAAAUCUGCAAUCCAAACAAUUCUGCAAAAUGAGUGACAACUAUUACUACCGCAACACAGACAAGAUGCUGCAGGAACUCAGCAGGUCAGGCAGUAUCUAUGGAAAUCAAUCAACAGUUGACACUUUGGACCAAGACCCUUCUUCAGGAACAAAACAGAAAGGGAAAGAUGCCAGAAUAAAAAGCUGUAGCAGGAAAUGGCCGAGCAGCCCAUCAUAUUGUUCACCAAGUACUGGUCGUCCGCCAAGUAUUCCAUACAAAUCAGAAGCUGCUUGAGAAGAUGGACCUCCAGAUCAAACACAAAACAUAGCAAGAGAUAUAAAUUUCAAGCUGACAGCAGUCAAUAAGCCAUCGCCAUUCAAUUAAUGGAGGAAACUAAGAAAACUAUCUGAGUGCCGCAUCAAUUGGGCCCAAAGAAAUGUUGCUUACAAAGAACAAGGACACAGUGAAUCCU